UACGAAGGGGGCUAGCGUUGCUCGGAAUUACUGGGCGUAAAGGGAGCGUAGGCGGAUAGUUUAGUCAGAGGUGAAAGCCCAGGGCUCAACCUUGGAAUUGCCUUUGAUACUGGCUAUCUUGAGUAUGGGAGAGGUGUGUGGAACUCCGAGUGUAGAGGUGAAAUUCGUAGAUAUUGGGAAGAACACCGGUGGCGGAGGCGGCGAGCUGGUCCAUUACUGACGCUGAGGCGCGAAAGCGUGGGGAGCAAACAGG
Molecule: ribosomal RNA, 253 nt
Filed under: uncultured bacterium
Lineage: Bacteria
Description: partial 16S ribosomal RNA
Rfam family: Bacterial small subunit ribosomal RNA
Source: RNAcentral